Molecule: ribosomal RNA, 253 nt
Filed under: uncultured bacterium
Lineage: Bacteria
Description: partial 16S ribosomal RNA
Rfam family: Bacterial small subunit ribosomal RNA
Source: RNAcentral
UACGUAGGGUCCGAGCGUUGUCCGGAAUUAUUGGGCGUAAAGGGCUCGUAGGCGGUUUGUCGCGUCUGCUGUGAAAGCCCUGGGCUCAACCUGGGAACUGCAGUGGAUACUGGCCAGCUCGAGUGUGAUAGAGGAUGGUGGAAUUCCCGGUGUAGCGGUGAAAUGCGUAGAGAUCGGGAGGAACACCCAGAGGCGAAGGCGGCUACCUGGACAAUUGCUGACGCUCAGGCACGAAGCGUGGGGAGCAAAAGGG